RNAcentral lists this long non-coding RNA (300 nucleotides) under Homo sapiens (human). RNAcentral's name for it is "HSALNT0151614". The record is from RNAcentral. Lineage: Eukaryota; Metazoa; Chordata; Mammalia; Primates; Hominidae.
GCACAGCCUCCAGCCCAGGAGGGGCAGCCCCAUGGUGCAGCCCGAGAUCUCCAUGGACCUGGAGCAUCCCCUGCCAGCCCUGCGCUCCCUCUUCUUCCAGGUCCCGCGUUUCCAGUGUCAGCCAGCAGGGAGGCCCCGUCCUCCCUUCCCUAUGUGUCUCCUGGGCAGAAAUUUGUGGUGGAUUGGGACAGGGAUGGUGCUUCCCUCAGGCCCGUUUAGGGAGGGGACUGACUCCCAGCCUGGCACAGGUCCUCAGCUCUGCCUUGGUUGCCUUAGAGUGAGAAGGAUCAUUCCUGAAGG